Pseudopipra pipra is the source of this 2443-nucleotide long non-coding RNA. RefSeq lists it as uncharacterized. The record is from RefSeq and is a predicted model, not a curated record. The transcript has 2 exons. NCBI's taxonomy places the organism in Eukaryota, Metazoa, Chordata, Aves, Passeriformes, Pipridae.
GAAAGGGUGUAGGUGCAGGUACCCAUGAAGCUGUGUAGCUGCUUGUCGAAUGUAUGGUAGUGAGGGUCUCCUUCCACCACACAGGUCUCUGACAGUGGAAAGACCAGAGGGCAAGUUUAGUUGAGCACCUCCUGCUGCCUCUUCUCCCCAGAUCACCUUGCUCAAAGAGCAUCUGACCCAUGACUGGUCUGUACUCACCUGUGCCUGGCAUGGGUGUUGACGUGGGUGUUGAUGUGGGUGUCUCUUCUGAAGGUGUGGUGAUGGUGGUGCCUGGUGUGGUUGGAGUCAUAUCUACAAAAGAGGGAAUGAUAUAAAGAAAUGAAUCCUCCUUGACCAGCUUAUGUUCUGACAAUUGUUCUGACAAUGCUCUUCUAGGUCUAAUGAACAUGUAUUCAUGAAACAUUUGAAGAUGUUAUAAUGAAAUGAGUAGAAGUGACCAGUACUGAAAAAUUGACUAUAAAACAUGAAAUUUUAAGUGUUUGAGAAUGUGUGGUUUUUUACAAAUCCCUUCCUCAGUUGUCAUCAUAAUGCAUUAAGAUCCUGUAUUUUUACACUGUGUCAGUCACAAUCCUUUGUCAUUGCAAAUUGCUCAAAGAUGUCCUAUUUGGCAUAGUAGUAUUCAUCUGGCUCUCAAAAUCCUUUUUAGGUGGAAAUCUAGACUUCAUAAUGAGAAUUGUCUGACAUUUUUUUUACUGCUCAUAAACUGGUAUAAGAACUAUUGUUUUGGAAUUGGAAAGAGACUACAGAAUGGCAUUUCAUGUAAUAACCUCAUACUUAUGCUGUCAUUUCUGCUCGCUUUGGUAAUCACCUCUGGAGGUUCUAGAAAAAGCAAUUUAAAGAUACAAGGAAGAAAUUUUUUACAAUGAGGAUGGUGAAACAGUGGAAAUAUUCAUGGUCAGGUUGGAUUUUGAGUAACCUUGUCUAGUUGGAGACAUCCCUUCUUGUUGCAGGGAGGUUGAACUAGAUGACCUUUAAAGGUCUCUUCCAACCCAAACUGUUCUACGAUUCUAUGAAUUUCGUGCCUCUAGCCUUACCUCUGUGUUAACUCGUCUGCCUAGAUAAGAAGGACCUAAGGCUGCAUGGAUCUCAAGCUGCAGGAUUCUUUUUAUUAGUUUUAAAGCCCUUUUUUAUGCUUGGUGAAAAUUUGGAGCUGUAGAUAGUUUGGGCACUUUGCUGUUUCCUAAAGUAUCAUCUGAUACUUACGUCCUGUUGUCAUCCUUCACUAUCCAGCUGUCACCAAAUUUAUUUGGAUCCUGUUCUAGGACUUUAUCCGGGUUUAAAAAGUCAUCUAGUUGGUUGUCAUUGAAUGUUCCACAGAGACCACACAGCUGUCCUUUGAGACUUUCAUCAACCAGAAUGAAAAGCUCCUGAUCACCAUCAAACUUAACCUGGAUCCCUAGAGAGGUAUCAACGACCACGUAGUGUCCUUUUAUGGCUACUCUGGCUCCAUGGUUCAAAUCCACAGGAAGUUUAACCUGAACUCCAUCCACCUAAGGAAAACAAAACCCACAAAACCCAGUAAGUCAAUAAAGCUCCCAGGAACAAAGGGGAGGUCUGCACUGCCAGCACUAUAGUUUUCUCCACCGAGUCAGCCUUAUUCUAGUGAACAAUGGAGAUAACAGAAUUUUGAGGUUAAGCAGAGACUAAAGCAGUAUACACUUAUUUUCUACCUUGAAUAGUGCCCUGUAGCACAAGUUUAGCUUUGUGCUGUCACAACUACACACAAAGCAAUACUUGGAAUAGUUAAUUUAAAGCUAAAUCUUUGAGACUUAGUCCAGUAAAAGCUUUCUAUUAUAGAUGAAGUCAUGGAUGAAGCUGUUUCAUCCUACAAGCUCAUUUAGAAAAUAUCUGAAUAGACAAAAAGAUGCUAUGCUGAUUUCUGCCUUUUUGGGAAAAAAAAAUUCUGUGACUUUUAGCAUGUGCAGUCUUGGAGGUGAAUAAAUCAGAGAGGGCUGAUUCAGUUCUUUUGGGCAGAAAUGUAAAGUGCAUAGUGAUGGAUUGUUUAUGCUGAAAGUAGAACACUUACAUAGGUCUCUCUGUUUUUCUUCAAAACAAUGUGAAGGUUUUCCAGUGUGACAGAAACUGAGUUCAAGGCUGUCCAGUUCGGGUUUCCUCUAUGUUCAUUUCUGGUAGUCACUGAGAACUUUUCAGAAGAAUUUGUGCAUCUCUCAACAACAGUAUAAUUGCAGUCUCCUUGGAAAUGGUACAGUCUUCCAUCAAAGGUUAUAUAAUGUGGAUCCCCAAAAAUGUGGCAGGUGCUGGGAUUCAAUGGGUAACAUCCCAAGAGUCCAUUCUGUACCUUGCAAACUUUACUUAUUUCACACGUGUCUGAACUGCAAACUACAGUCCCAUUUCCAGCACAUACACAUUGGCCUACACAGUCUGGUUGCCAAAAAGAUUCUCCUUUCUGUUAGAGAAAUUCAAAUAAAUACAAAUUAGAAGA